AAACCCGGAGGAGAGAGGAGGGGAGACCCGCCACCUCCCUUCAUUGCUCACAGACUUGUUCCCUCCCCGGUCUGCGGCUGCUGCAGCAGCGGCGGCGGCGGCGGCGGCGGGACGCAGGAGCAGUCCCGAGGCUGGCCACGGAUGAGACUGGAACGAACUGAGACUGCUGGUAGGUGUGGACGACAGACAGCUGGGUGGCAUGGGAAUGCAGGUGCCAGGCGAACUAGAGGGUGGUGCUGGGUGCGUCGUACCAUCAGGAGAAGAUCCCCUCCCCCUUGGCCUCUGCUGAAAGCAACAAGGGAACCCCUAAAAGAAGGGCUGAGAAGGUAUGCACAAGAUACUGGGUCUCCCCAAGAAGGGACUGGGAGGAGGCAGACGGGCAUUUGAACCCAAAUACGCAGUAGAAAAACCUGCUGCACUUCUCAGGUGGUGCUCAGAGAGGAGGGAAGGGUACAAAAGGAACAGAGUGUGUGGGUCCUCUGUCCGUCUGCCUGUUGGAGUAUCUGGUGCAUGCACAGAUUUUGAUGUUCUGAUGCACCUUUGAGUUGGGAGCUGAGA
This 558-nucleotide long non-coding RNA is filed under the name Rattus norvegicus (Norway rat). RNAcentral's name for it is "long non-coding RNA NONRATT003190". The record is from RNAcentral. Lineage: Eukaryota; Metazoa; Chordata; Mammalia; Rodentia; Muridae.